UCUCUAUCUCUCUCUCUCUCUCUGCAAAAUUAUAAAAGCUGACAAUCUAAAUUCUAUUCCAUGCCUGAUCUACCAAAUUCCAUUUCAACUUCCCCUGUCUUUGAUCUCUCAACUUAAGAUUUCUUUGCCAAUUCGGUCGGUUUAGUUUUCUUUGAGCAUUUUUGGUUUGCUAGUGAGGAGGAUGAUAGAAUGCAGCGUCUGUCAUUCCAUACUUUCUCCCACAAGCAAAACCAUUUCCAGGGCUUACGAUAGGCACCGGGGUAAUGUCUCUUCCAAAACUCGGGCACUUAACUUUCUUCUGGUCGUUGGUGAUUGCAUCUUGGUCGGUCUCCAGGUGCACAUCCCUAUCUCUCUUUUCUCACUCACUCACUCACUUUUGUUGAUCUAUUUAGCUUUUGCUUAUUUAAUUUUUUCUUUUUUCUGCAAGCCUAUAUUGGUUUACAUGUCUAAGGUGGAUGGCCAAUUCAAGUUUAGUCCUAUAAGUGUUAACUUCUUGACUGAGGCUGCUAAAGUUCUUUUUGCUAUUGUUAUGCUUUUCAUCCAGGCACAGCGUAAACAGGUUGGAGAGAAACAUUAUCUCUCUUUUUCUAUCUUUGUACAGGCUGCUCGAAAUAACGUGCUUCUUGCUGUUCCAGCUCUCCUUUAUGCUAUUAAUAAUUAUUUGAAGUUUAUUAUGCAGCUAUACUUCAAUCCUGCAACAGUGAAGAUGCUGAGCAAUCUGAAGGUUUUGGUAAUUGCAGUCUUGUUGAAAAUAAUCAUGAAGCGACGAUUUUCAAUUAUUCAGUGGGAGGCUCUUGCUUUAUUGCUCAUUGGGAUUAGUGUGAAUCAGUUACGGUCUCUACCUGAGGGCACUACUGCCAUGGGCCUUUCAGUUGCAACAGGGGCAUACUUGUAUACGCUAAUUUUUGUGACUGUUCCAUCACUAGCAUCAGUCUACAAUGAGUAUGCUUUGAAGAGCCAGUUUGAGACCAGCAUUUAUCUUCAGAACCUCUUUCUUUAUGGGUAUGGUGCCAUAUUCAACUUCCUAGCCAUCCUAAUAACUGCCAUUUUUAAAGGUCCUACUAGCUUGGAUAUCAUGCAAGGUCACUCAAAGGCUACCAUGCUUUUGAUAUGCAACAAUGCAGCACAAGGAAUUUUAUCUUCUUUCUUUUUCAAAUACGCAGAUACGAUAUUGAAGAAGUACUCAUCAACUGUAGCCACAAUUUUUACAGGAAUAGCAUCUGCUGCACUUUUUGGUCAUACCCUGACUAUGAAUUUUAUCUUAGGAAUCUCUAUUGUCUUUAUCUCCAUGCAUCAGUUCUUUUCACCACUUUCAAAGGUUAAGGAUGAACCAGUGAAAGGUGGUCUGGAGAUGGUGGAUGUUGAAAACAACCAGAGGUCUAAGGAUGCAUCCUUCAUAAAUAUGGCCGCAGGAGCAAAUGAGGAUGGUAGUCAUCCAGUUGAACAUGAUGAGAAGGCGCCACUUCUUCCUAUCUGAAGUUUACUAUAUGGGUAUGGAUUCAAACUGAUGCUUAGGAUGUCAAAGUUGCAAUUAUUUUUGUUAGCUGUGCUCUGUCCAGUAUAGUGAAUUAAGAAGGCCCUGUUGAAAUUGUUAUUAGAGCUUUAGCUAGCAUCUAAAAAACUUACCCCCCGAAAAGAUUCAUGGUAAAGUAAAGGACUGUUUAGGGAUAAUUGCAAAGCAAUGCAAGUUAGUCUAACUUGAAACAAAAUUCCUUUGUCUAGUGGACAUAUAAAAUACAAAAAUUUUCCAUGUUAAUUUUGUUUGCACAUGAUGCACAAGAUAUGGCGCUGUACAAUCCUCAAGAGGAAAAUACCCAAAGCGCUCUAUGAUGAAGUUCUACUGGGCUACUCCUUCAAUAGAUUGUCUAUAUGUCUUGUUUUCCAUAUGGUAUAGCCUAGAAGAAUCCAUAUGUGGCCAAUUAAUAAAAUUGUGAGAAUGAUCUCAAAUAAAUGAUGAGCAAUGAUUAGAAUUAUUCGUUUACUGGAAACUACAGGUUGAUGAAAGAAGUACCAGAUGUAGAUAUAGAAUAAGAGUAAAAAAGUACUAGAAAUCCUCUCCUUUUUCCCCAACCCAUUUUGUUGAUCCUUUUCCAUUUUAAUAUAAUUAUCUUUUUGUUUUUUCUGAACUUAUUUUGAUGUAGCAUUGAACUUAUUUUACAUCAUAAUAUUGGUGAAAUUGAAAUCUCAUUGCAGGGAGCGAUCAGUGUGUACAUUUCUAGGCAGGAAUUAUCAGUAGUUGAGAAUACCAGCACUUCCAGUGACACAAUAGAAUAAAUGCUGUAGAAGAGAUUCUUUAUUUCAUUUUGGGGUUUGUGGGAACCCACGCCAUACCUUUGAGUAAGCUAUCCACUAAACAUCUUUGGAGCAUGAGAGGCUAUUGAGCACCUGGUUUCUGGGAAAGGGGAAGGGGAGACAGGUUAAAACAAUAUUUAUAAAGAAAUGCAGCAAUUUUUGUAAUUCGUCGGUCUAUGCCAUAUCCAGAAAACUAUUACUUUUUAUUGUGAUAUCUCUUCAUAUAUGUUCGACAACACUUUCAUGAAUUUUGGUAAUGUAAAUGUCUUGAAUCCUAUAAUGUC
Molecule: unclassified non-coding RNA, 2576 nt
Filed under: Hevea brasiliensis (rubber tree)
Lineage: Eukaryota; Viridiplantae; Streptophyta; Magnoliopsida; Malpighiales; Euphorbiaceae
Source: RNAcentral